This 633-nucleotide ribosomal RNA is filed under the name uncultured archaeon. RNAcentral's name for it is "bacterial SSU rRNA". It matches the Rfam family "Archaeal small subunit ribosomal RNA", at positions 150 to 786 of the family's 1478-position model. The record is from RNAcentral.
ACCGCGAUAGGCCAAGGUUUCUGGAAUGGACACUGGCUGAAACCUAUAUGGCCCCUGGAUUGGACUGCGGCCGAUCAGGCUGUUGGUGAGGUAAUGGCCCACCAAACCUGUAACCGGUACGGGCUUUGAGAGAAGGAGCCCGGAGAUGGGCACUGAGACAAGGGCCCAGGCCCUAUGGGGCGCAGCAGGCGCGAAAAUUCUGCAAUAAGCGAAAGCUUGACAGAGUUACUCUGAGUGAUGCCCGCUAAGGGCAUCUUUUGGCACCUCUAAAAAUGGUGCAGAAUAAGGGGUGGGCAAGUCUGGUGUCAGCCGCCGCGGUAAUACCAGCACCCCGAGUGGUCGGGACGAUUAUUGGGCCUAAAGCAUCCGUAGCUUGUUCUGCAAGUCUUCCGUUAAAUCCACCUGCUCAACAGAUGGGCUGCGGGAGAUACUACAGGGCUAGGAGGCGGGAGAGGCAAGCGGUACUCAGUGGGUAGGGGUAAAAUCCUCUGAUCCACUGAAGACCACCAGUGGCGAAGGCGGCUUGCCAGAACGCGCUCGACGGUGAGGGAUGAAAGCUGGGGGAGCAAACCGGAUUAGAUACCCGGGUAGUCCCAGCUGUAAACGAUGCAGACUCGGUGAUGGGUUGGCUUU